This 252-nucleotide ribosomal RNA is filed under the name uncultured bacterium. RNAcentral describes it as "partial 16S ribosomal RNA". It matches the Rfam family "Bacterial small subunit ribosomal RNA", at positions 524 to 776 of the family's 1533-position model. The record is from RNAcentral.
UACGGAGGAUGCGAGCGUUAUCCGGAUUUAUUGGGUUUAAAGGGUGCGUAGGCGGUUCGUUAAGUCAGCGGUAAAAUUGCGGGGCUCAACCCCGUCGAGCCGUUGAAACUGGCAGACUUGAGUUGGCGAGAAGUACGCGGAAUGCGCGGUGUAGCGGUGAAAUGCAUAGAUAUCGCGCAGAACUCCGAUUGCGAAGGCAGCGUACCGACGCCAGACUGACGCUGAGGCACGAAAGCGUGGGGAUCGAACAGG